This 301-nucleotide ribosomal RNA is filed under the name uncultured bacterium. RNAcentral describes it as "partial 16S ribosomal RNA". It matches the Rfam family "Bacterial small subunit ribosomal RNA", at positions 509 to 808 of the family's 1533-position model. The record is from RNAcentral.
CAGCCGCCGCGGUAAAACGGAGGGUGCAAGCGUUAAUCGGAAUUACUGGGCGUAAAGCGCACGCAGGCGGUCUGACAAGUCAGAUGUGAAAUCCCCGGGCUUAACCUGGGAACUGCAUUUGAAACUGUCAGGCUGGAGUCUUGUAGAGGGGGGUGGAAUUCCAGGUGUAGCGGUGAAAUGCGUAGAGAUCUGGAGGAAUACCGGUGGCGAAGGCGGCCCCCUGGACAAAGACUGACGCUCAGGUGCGAAAGCGUGGGGAGCAAACAGGAUUAGAUACCCCAUAGUCCCUGUCUCUUAUACC